RNAcentral lists this ribosomal RNA (1305 nucleotides) under metagenome. Its description in RNAcentral is "bacterial LSU rRNA". It matches the Rfam family "Bacterial large subunit ribosomal RNA", at positions 1639 to 2925 of the family's 2925-position model. The record is from RNAcentral.
GAACCGUACCCCAAACCGACACAGGUGGUUGGGUAGAGAAUACCAAGGCGCUUGAGAGAACUCGGGUGAAGGAACUAGGCAAAAUGGCACCGUAACUUCGGGAGAAGGUGCGCCGGUGAGGGUGAAGCAUUUACUGCGUAAGCCCACGCCGGUCGAAGAUACCAGGCCGCUGCGACUGUUUAUUAAAAACACAGCACUCUGCAAACACGAAAGUGGACGUAUAGGGUGUGACGCCUCCCCGGUGCCGGAAGGUUAAUUGAUGGGGUUAGCUAACGCGAAGCUCUUGAUCGAAGCCCCGGUAAACGGCGGCCGUAACUAUAACGGUCCUAAGGUAGCGAAAUUCCUUGUCGGGUAAGUUCCGACCUGCACGAAUGGCGUAACGAUGGCGGCGCUGUCUCCACCCGAGACUCAGUGAAAUUGAAAUCGCUGUGAAGAUGCAGUGUAUCCGCGGCUAGACGGAAAGACCCCGUGAACCUUUACUAUAGCUUAGCACUGGACUUUGAAUUUGCUUGUGUAGGAUAGGUGGGAGGCUUUGAAGCGUGGACGCCAGUCUGCGUGGAGCCAACCUUGAAAUACCACCCUGGCAACUUUGAGGUUCUAACUCAGGUCCGUUAUCCGGAUCGAGGACAGUGUAUGGUGGGUAGUUUGACUGGGGCGGCCUCCUCCUAAAGAGUAACGGAGGAGUACGAAGGUGCGCUCAGACCGGUCGGAAAUCGGUCGUAGAGUAUAAAGGCAAAAGCGCGCUUGACUGCGAGACAGACACGUCGAGCAGGUACGAAAGUAGGUCUUAGUGAUCCGGUGGUUCUGUAUGGAAGGGCCACCGCUCAACGGAUAAAAGGUACUCCGGGGAUAACAGGCUGAUACCGCCCAAGAGUUCAUAUCGACGGCGGUGUUUGGCACCUCGAUGUCGGCUCAUCACAUCCUGGGGCUGAAGCCGGUCCCAAGGGUAUGGCUGUUCGCCAUUUAAAGUGGUACGCGAGCUGGGUUUAGAACGUCGUGAGACAGUUCGGUCCCUAUCUGCCGUGGACGUUUGAGAUUUGAGAGGGCUGCUCCUAGUACGAGAGGACCGGAGUGGACGAACCUCUGGUGUUCCGGUUGUCACGCCAGUGGCAUUGCCGGGUAGCUAUGUUCGGAAUAGAUAACCGCUGAAAGCAUCUAAGCGGGAAACUAGCCUCAAGAUGAGAUCUCACUGGAACCUUGAGUCCCCUGAAGGGCCGUCGAAGACUACGACGUUGAUAGGUGGGGUGUGUAAGCGCUGUGAGGCGUUGAGCUAACCCAUACUAAUUGCCCGUGAGGCUUGACCAU